AGCGGGGUGGAGCAGUGGUCAGCUCGUCGGGCUCAUAACCCGGAGGUCGCUGGUUCGAAUCCAGCCCCCGCUACUA
This 76-nucleotide transfer RNA is filed under the name Candidatus Berkelbacteria bacterium. Its description in RNAcentral is "tRNA-Met". It matches the Rfam family "tRNA". From Rfam's summary of the family: Transfer RNA (tRNA) molecules are approximately 80 nucleotides in length. Lineage: Bacteria; Candidatus Berkelbacteria. The record is from RNAcentral.